Molecule: long non-coding RNA, 417 nt
Organism: Megalobrama amblycephala (Wuchang bream)
Lineage: Eukaryota; Metazoa; Chordata; Actinopteri; Cypriniformes; Xenocyprididae
Exons: 4
Source: RefSeq, a predicted model, not a curated record
UGAACAGUUCCGGCACUUUCUUUGCAAACUUUGUCACAACUUUUCCUAAUUUUAGCACUACUUAGGGUCUGAACUUCAUCUUUAUCUUUACCCUUUGAAACUCUUUUUUCCUGGAAUGGCUGUCUUUCAACGUUCGUGUCUCAUUCUUCUCAACGCUCACGGCAUCAUCUGUUGAGUCCCCUUGACAAGAACCUUCUAACAUGUUUGGCGUAUCCUUGAGGCAAGUGAACAUCUUAAGCAAACAAGAAUCAAGAAUGGCAGAGAAAUCUUGGAGGACGCUUUACCAGGUUGCAGCUCAUAUGUUGUUCCAGCUCAUUUCGGAUCUACAGAAGUGAAAGGAUUUAAUUUAAUGCUCCUUCCAUGGCUGAUUCAUUUAUGUAAAUCAUGAAAUAAAAACCUCAUUACAUAUACCUCCUU